Molecule: long non-coding RNA, 803 nt
Filed under: Oryza brachyantha (malo sina)
Lineage: Eukaryota; Viridiplantae; Streptophyta; Magnoliopsida; Poales; Poaceae
Description: long non-coding RNA (OBRA_LNC002968)
Source: RNAcentral
AAAUAAAAAAGAGGAAUAAUCAAAGAAUGGUUAGCAUUGUUGCUGUCGUCGAGGCAUUCGUCACUUGCGCCGUUGUUGCUGAUCCCAUCCACCAUCGCAUUUCCAUGCUCAUUUAGAGGCCUCCGUAUUGCAGGCUGCAAAAAAAUAUUGAGUCAACCCAAGAACGAUGUCAGUGGAUCUAUCAUUAAUCAAAUUAUCAUAGUAUGCAAUUUUUGUAAAAGAAACUUAUUUUGAUAAACAAUAUUGGUCAAAGUAGCAUAUGGAAGUUCGUGUCGACAUCCAAAAGUGACAUAUUUUGGGAUCGAUGAAGUCAUGCGGUAGAAUACGACCAACAACAGUCACUUUACUUUUACUUUGGUGGAUAGUCAGAUCAACCGGUUGGAAAGAGUAGACUAAUCACAAGUUCUUUUAUCAUUUGCUAUAAUGCAAUUGUUCCGAAGAACCAACUAAAUAUUGCAUAACUAAUAUGAUGAUCAAGAGGUUGAAAUAGCACCGGUCGUUUUGGCAGAUAAUAAGCAAAGAAAAACCAAAACUCUAGCUACGUUCCAUCACGUUCCAAACUACUCGCACUGUCGCCCGGGUAGCAGAAGCAUGAACAAGUGCAAGCAUGCAGCGGCAACGAUGACUAGGUCUAGAGAGGCACAGUUACGGCGACACAACAUGCUCAGCUCACAUCUGGAAGGACAUCGUGUUCGGGCUUACCCUGCAUCGGCCAAGAGAUCGGUCACAAUGGCAGCUUGGUCGCUUGGCUGUCCAGUCCUCAACGAGCCCUAUGAUUUCCCUAUGCUUCCCAAGCCUAACAC